Molecule: ribosomal RNA, 426 nt
Filed under: Escherichia coli
Lineage: Bacteria; Pseudomonadati; Pseudomonadota; Gammaproteobacteria; Enterobacterales; Enterobacteriaceae
Description: partial 23S ribosomal RNA
Rfam family: Bacterial large subunit ribosomal RNA
Source: RNAcentral
CCAAGGCUAAAUACUCCUGACUGACCGAUAGUGAACCAGUACCGUGAGGGAAAGGCGAAAAGAACCCCGGCGAGGGGAGUGAAAAAGAACCUGAAACCGUGUACGUACAAGCAGUGGGAGCACGCUUAGGCGUGUGACUGCGUACCUUUUGUAUAAUGGGUCAGCGACUUAUAUUCUGUAGCAAGGUUAACCGAAUAGGGGAGCCGAAGGGAAACCGAGUCUUAACUGGGCGUUAAGUUGCAGGGUAUAGACCCGAAACCCGGUGAUCUAGCCAUGGGCAGGUUGAAGGUUGGGUAACACUAACUGGAGGACCGAACCGACUAAUGUUGAAAAAUUAGCGGAUGACUUGUGGCUGGGGGUGAAAGGCCAAUCAAACCGGGAGAUAGCUGGUUCUCCCCGAAAGCUAUUUAGGUAGCGCCUCGUGAA